RNAcentral lists this ribosomal RNA (495 nucleotides) under uncultured bacterium. RNAcentral's name for it is "partial 16S ribosomal RNA". It matches the Rfam family "Bacterial small subunit ribosomal RNA", at positions 28 to 507 of the family's 1533-position model. The record is from RNAcentral.
GACGAACGCUGGCGGCGUGCCUAAUACAUGCAAGUCGAACGCUGAAGGAGGAGCUUGCUUCUCUGGAUGAGUUGCGAACGGGUGAGUAACGCGUAGGUAACCUGCCUGGUAGCGGGGGAUAACUAUUGGAGACGAUAGCUAAUACCGCAUAAGAGUAGAUGUUGCAUGACAUUUGCUUAAAAGGUGCAAUUGCAUCACUACCAGAUGGACCUGCGUUGUAUUAGCUAGUUGGUGGGGUAACGGCUCACCAAGGCGACGAUACAUAGCCGACCUGAGAGGGUGAUCGGCCACACUGGGACUGAGACACGGCCCAGACUCCUACGGGAGGCAGCAGUAGGGAAUCUUCGGCAAUGGACGGAAGUCUGACCGAGCAACGCCGCGUGAGUGAAGAAGGUUUUCGGAUCGUAAAGCUCUGUUGUAAGAGAAGAACGAGUGUGAGAGUGGAAAGUUCACACUGUGACGGUAUCUUACCAGAAAGGGACGGCUAACUACGUG